GACGAACGCUGGCGGCGUGCUUAACACAUGCAAGUCGAACGGAAAGGCCCUGCUUUUGUGGGGUGCUCGAGUGGCGAACGGGUGAGUAACACGUGAGUAACCUGCCCUUGACUUUGGGAUAACUUCAGGAAACUGGGGCUAAUACCGGAUAGGAGCUCCUGCUGCAUGGUGGGGGUUGGAAAGUUUCGGCGGUUGGGGAUGGACUCGCGGCUUAUCAGCUUGUUGGUGGAGUAGUGGCUUACCAAGGCUUUGACGGGUAGCCGGCCUGAGAGGGUGACCGGCGACAUUGCGCCUGAGGUACGGCCCAGACUCCUACGGGAGGCAGUGGUGGGGAAUAUUACACAGUGGGCGGAAGUCUGAUGCGGCAACGCCGCGUGCGGGAUGACGGCCUUCUGGUUGUAAACCACUUUCGCCUGUGCCGAACCGUGAGUGACGGUACUGGGUCAAGAAGCAACGGCUAACUACGUG
Molecule: ribosomal RNA, 468 nt
Filed under: uncultured bacterium
Lineage: Bacteria
Description: partial 16S ribosomal RNA
Rfam family: Bacterial small subunit ribosomal RNA
Source: RNAcentral